GAAACCCCUUAAACACUGCGCCAAAGCAUAUGCGCCAGACUCGCUUCACGCGCUCCACCUAUCGGCUCGAGCUCAGACUGCCGGUGGUGAGACCUGCGCGAGGCGUCAGCAUCCUGUCAACACAGCAGCUCCACCGCAGUACGGAACAGGUGUAGUCCGCUGACACCUAGCCAUGAUGAAAACGGGCGCCACCAAAGUGGGGCUGCCUAAGCCUGGACUCCAGGAACGAGUGAGGCAGGCCCCCUCGACGUCCUCUGCCUCCACCACCUCCUCAGCCAUGAAGACCUCCAGAUCUUCCAACACGUUGGCCUCAGAUCAGCGCCUUAGCAAGCUGAAAAGAGCCAGCAGUGAUGAUGCCUUGACAAAGCCUCCACCAGGAGCUACUGCCUCCGGUUCCCGGAUGAAGAAGACUGUGACUACAGGAGCCAUUUCAGAACUCGCUGAGGCCCGCCCUCGCAGCUUGUCAGGUGUACAAACUGUCAAGAAGUCUGGAAUCCCAGCUCCUAGAGAUAUGCCCUCUGCCAUAACAAGGGAUCGCAGCUCUUUGAGGGACCAGCUGAAGAGCAAUUCCACAAAGAGACUGGUUUCCAGUGCCAGCACUUCCAGCCUCUCCACCCUGACAAGGCAGACACGUAAUUCAGCCAAAUCUCGUGCAGAUGCAGAGGGCCAAGAAAAGAGUCUUCUGGAAAGUCAGGUGAAGGAGCUUCUUGCUGAGGCAAAGGCUAAAGACCUAGAGAUCAGCAAUCUCAGGAUGGAGUUGCAACGCUGUAAGGGUAAAGCCUCUUCUGCUUCCUCCUCACCCUCAUCCAAUUCUGUUUCACCUCAAGAACCUGCAGCCAAUCGUGAGCAAGGACAGAUGGGGGAGGCCCUUGUGUUGGUUGGGGAGCUGAGGGAGAAGAAUGGGAAGUUUCAGAGGGAGCUGGCAGCCCUCAGGGAGGAGAAUCAGGCACUGAAGGAGAAGCUGCUUAGCUUGGAGGCAUCUUCUAUCUGUAGUACAAACACAAGCACCUCCUCCAACCCUUUGGUGAAUGGCCUGUCCUCAGACUCUUCAGCUCUGCAACAGCAUAGUCUCCCCUCUACUGCCAGCCUACUCAAAACCUCUGGAUCUUCCAGUUCUGACAUCACCAAGGGGUCCCCAUCACCUGACUCCUCAGAGUUUGAGAAGAUCCCAUCACACUCAGAAUCAGCAAGCAGUGGUGUUAGUGGGAGCACUGAUCAAGCAGGGGCAGUUAACAGUGCCAGAGGUCAGGACAUCUCCUUGCAGAGCCUAACUGAACAGAUUCACAAGAUGGAGGAGAGCCACCACAGCACAUCGGAGGAACUACAGGCAACAAUACAGGAGCUUGCUGACCAGCAGCAAGUGGUGCAGGAGCUAACAGCUGAGAAUGAACGUCUGGCUGAUGAGAAACGACUCCUGCAGACUUCACUCCAACAGCAGAGAGAGCGUCUGGAGGUAUUGGCCCAGAAGAAUGAAACGUUCGCUGUCCGGCUUCAGGAGCAGGCUCAGGCUCAGGCCCAAAGGGAGGAGGAGCUGGGUAGCCAGGGGCCUCGACUGGCCGAACUGGAGCAGAGGUAUGCUGAGCUGGUAGAGAGUUCACGCUUUGAACGGGAGAAGCUAGUAGACAUCCAGCAGCAACUAACAGGCAGCUUGCGGGCCCUGGAGGAGGAGCACCAGGAGGCCCAGAGCCAGGUCCGCUGCCUCAGAGAAGAGUUAGACAGGUUGCAAGCCCAGUUGGACAGAGAGCUGGAAGCUGGAGGUCAGGCAGUUCAAACUGCAGAAGAUCAGAGGGCGACAGCUGAGGGUCUGAGACUGGAAAACAGCAGGCUGAAGGCACAAGUGGACAUUGAGAGGCAAAAGGUGACUGAGUUGAAGGCUAUGCAAAGUGCUAGUGACAACACUGAGCUGCAGACUCUGCUAAAGACAGCCCACACUGAGAGAGACAAGCUGGGAGUGGAGCUGACAGAACUAAGACAGGAGCUGCUUCAGGCGCAGGCUGAGACUGAGCAUGUGCGAGCCUCUGUGUCUAAGGUGGAGGCAAAAUGCCAGCAGCUUCAGGAGCAGGCCGAGAAGAGAGAACUGGAGCUAUGUAACCAAGUGGCUUCCCUGGAGGAGGUGGGAAUCCAGGCUGAGAACCAGGUGAAGGAGAUGAAGGAGACCAUAUUUGAGCUGGAGGACCAGGUGGAGCAGCAGAGGGCUGUUAACUGUCACACCAACCAAGCUGUCUUGGACAUGGAAAAUCUGGUCAAAAAGCUGGAGGAGCAGAAGGCUGAAGCAGAGCGGCAGCUGAAAGUUAUGAGUAGACAAAUGAAGGAUGAAAAGGAGGAGUGGCGUCGUUUUCAGGCAGACCUCCAGACGGCUGUGGUCGUAGCAAAUGAUAUCAAGGUGGAAGCUCAGCAGGAGCUUCGCACACUCAGGAGGCAGCUGCAGGAGGAGCAGGAUCGUAAUGCAAAGCUUUCUGCAGACCUUGAGGCCCUGCAGGGAGUCAGGUCCCAAGCUGAAGAGAUGAGAGUGUCUGACUCAGAUAACGGCCUUCACUGGUGCGGCAUCUCCAUGAUCCCGGCCACGCCCGCCGACGCCAGCGGAGAUUCCAACACAGAGCCUGGAGCUACUGUCAAAUCCCUCAUUAAGUCCUUUGAUACUGUUGGACAAAAUGGACCAGGUCACACGGUUCAAAUGCAUUCCUCCUCAAGAAGCCCACUGAGUGGGAUCCCUGUGCGCACUGCACCUGCUGCUGCUGUAUCCCCCAUCCAGAGACACUCGCACAUAAAGCCACUAUCAAAGACACUGGAAAAAAGAAUUAAUCAUGGAGAAUUCUCCCAUCCUCAUGACAAAUUGGCGAGCUGCAGGGAAGACCUGAAACCUAACAGCCUUAUGAGGAAAAGCCCGUCACUGGAGUCUGUAAUCAAAACCUCUGCCUCCCUCAGCAGCCGCACGCCAUCCUUCAGCUACAACCGAGGAAGCAGCAAGCUCAGUGUGGAAAGAAAGGACCCCUUGGCUGCACUGGCGCGGGAGUAUGGAGGAUCUAAGAGAAAUGCUCUACUGAAGUGGUGCCAGAAGAAAACAGAAGGCUAUCCGAAUAUCGAUGUGACCAACUUCAGCAGCAGUUGGAGUGAUGGCCUGGCUUUCUGUGCCCUAUUGCACACAUAUCUGCCUGCCCACAUCCCUUACCAGGAACUCAUCAGUCAAGAUAAGGUCCGGAAUCUGACUCUAGCUUUCCAGGCAGCUGAGAGCAUUGGCAUCAAACCCUCCCUGAUCCUUCUCCAUCUGAGAGUGGAUUUAUCAGACACUGAUCCCGCCCCGCAGCUGGACCUUUAACCUGCAAAAACACUGUGAUAGAAACUGCACAGAAACACUUUGUGUGUUUGGUGUUAUUUCCAGAACCUACUGAGAAGUUGCACUUUAAAUUAGCUACCAGAGAAAAGGACAUUAAGGAGUUGAUGAAGACCGACAGGCCAGACUGGCAGAGUGUCAUGCAGUACGUCUCCCAGAUCUACAAGUACUUUGAGACCUGAUGGGUAUGGAGGAGGAGCUGGAGCCUGAUGGUUUUUCUGUCCCAUCUUGUGAGCCCUACAUUCUCUUUUGAGACCGGCCUGAUGAUGCCACGUUACCCCUGCUCCUGCUCGACACUGGAAACGUGACAGAGGAAUUCUGUUAUUUAAAGCUGCCGAAUCCACAGUCGCUGCUCACGUGUUCAGACAGAGACUGGAGUCACUUUUCAGAGGCUUUCAGCAUCAACCAAGCAUUUGAUCCACAGACACACUGAUUAUGCUGAAAGACACUAUUGAAGCUAUGUAGCAGUUGACAACACAGUUUACAGAGACUUGACAAGUGAUCUAAUUACUUUUCUUCCCUCUGUACAAAAAUCAAUGCAUCAUUAAUGUUUGUUCAUUUUUCAGAUGCUGGCUGCCUCUCACCAUUAGGUACAAGGUGUUUUUUGUUUUUUAGUAAUACUGGCUGCCAGGAGACAACUGCCCAGUUUUAGAGAACUACAAAGUCUGGACUAAGUGGCUGUAGGGGUGGUGGCAGAUCAUGGCUUGUUAUGUUUGGAUAUUUGUUUUUUUGCAUUUGGUUUUGCUUUUUUCCAUGCCCUGGUUUCUUUUCUUUUUAUUCCCUAGUGUAAGCUUAGUGUUAAAAGCUUCUUUGUUAGGGUUAGGAAAAAUUGUAGUUUGGGUUCAGAUGUUCUCCUUCAAAAACGUAACAUUGAAAAAUGAUGAGUAUGGGGUAGUAGCUGUGUCUUUUUGACGCUAUAACCGGGUGCAUCGAGCCCUGUUGCCAAAGGGACACCUUGCAUAACUGUAACAAAGGUUUUGACGUUUGACAGAACGGGCCUAUCCAACAGCCCUGCAACGUGAGAGCUCGUCACUAACUCAGCGAAAAAGUAGAUGAUUUUUUUCUUUCCUUUCUUACACUUAUGCUAAUUGCUAAUUAUCAGCGUUGUUUGUGUGCCAACUGACCUUUAAAAAAAAAAAGUGCCAAAUUUUCACAGCCAAUGCUCUGCUCAUAUGAGGACCAUCUAUGCAUGAUUUAAGUGUGACCUUUCUGCCUGGGUGCACAGCGUGACGUCUCCUUUCUGUCAACAUAGUGUUACGAGCAAACCCGUCUAAAACCGGCUUUUGGUAAACUGGCUGAAAUGUCGCUCACGCCUUAUUCCGAGUGUUUUUAAAGAGCUGGGCUUUUCUUUGAGCCAAGCUUUGUGGUGCAUAAAGCAUUUUCAACUGUUAAGUGUGGGUUUUUCCUUACAGAAUGGACAAACAAUAGCUGUAAUGAAGUAACACUUAAAGAGUUCCUGAAUAGUUUUCUAAAAAAAAAAAGUUUUAUGAAUACAGAUUGAUCUCUAUUUGCUUUGUGUACAGUAUUAAGCACUGCCUGACUUGAACCAUCAUGCUGUGUCCUCCUUCGCACUCUUAAUGCUUUCCAUCAAAAUCCUCUGAACUAUGGUUACUGCAACUGUUUGCAACAGGUCUGUAUCUGUAUUCUGCAUGCUGAAGUACAAAAGAGAGAAAAGACUUUUCUUCUAAGAGCUGAGGACAUAACACUUUCUCUCUGGUAUAUAGGCAAGCCUCUGUUUGCAGAUGUCCUAAUGUUUUAACAGGUCAAAUUGUUAUUUAUUUAGCAGACACACAUACUGCAGAGUGAGAACGUGGACAGAUACAGUAUGCAGCAGUUUUCUAUUCUUACAUGUCUGGUGGAUAUUGCUUAAUAAAGGAAUUUCAAGAUUUUUUUUUUUAA
Long non-coding RNA from Oreochromis niloticus (Nile tilapia), 5230 nucleotides. RefSeq annotates it as cytospin-B. The record is from RefSeq and is a predicted model, not a curated record. Lineage: Eukaryota; Metazoa; Chordata; Actinopteri; Cichliformes; Cichlidae. The transcript is spliced from 16 exons.